Molecule: long non-coding RNA, 111 nt
Organism: Melanotaenia boesemani (Boeseman's rainbowfish)
Lineage: Eukaryota; Metazoa; Chordata; Actinopteri; Atheriniformes; Melanotaeniidae
Exons: 3
Source: RefSeq, a predicted model, not a curated record
ACAUUUUGUUAAAGGGCUAAAUAAAGACCACAUAUUUAAAAAAUUGGAUUUUUCUUACCAUUUUUUCAUGGGUCGUGCCUUAACGGGUUAAAGCGUCUGUGUCAAAAUGAC